AUAAGAAUAAAAUUAAAGUGAAAUUGUUGAUCAUUUUAUCAAUAUUUUAAAUUUGUUGUAAUUUUUAAUUUGUUAGGUUGUGGCACAUGCCUUCAUGGUUUUCUACGUGUGGAACCAUGCUCUUAAUUCAGUAGAUUUAUCAAGCAAAGAUUCGUUACAUUCCUUUCAUUUAUUUAUGUUUAAGCUUGUAACUGUGGAAAGCAUCCUUAUACAAUUUGUUCGUUGAAGAAGUAGGAGAUUGUUGAUUUAAUAAAUGGUGCAACAUUUUCAACUAGAUUCAUGAAUAUUCAUGCAAGAUUAUUUAUGCCUUUAUAUUUUUGUAUCAAGUAAAUUAUUUUGUGAUGAGAUAGAUAAUAUUAUUUUUUAACUUUAGUCAAAUUCUAAUAAAUUCAAAUACUUCAAGUACUUCGUUAUACAACUGUAUUAUUUUAACAUUAGAAAUUAAAGCUAUCAUUCUAUGAUCGAUUAUCAUGUGUCUUUCUGUUUUGCGGCUAUAAUUUGUACCAUGAUAAACAGUGUAUAAUUGAGGAAUCAUUUUCAAGUUAAUGUAUGAAUGUUAUUUAUUUA
Molecule: non-coding RNA, 567 nt
Organism: Arachis ipaensis
Lineage: Eukaryota; Viridiplantae; Streptophyta; Magnoliopsida; Fabales; Fabaceae
Source: RefSeq, a predicted model, not a curated record